This 473-nucleotide ribosomal RNA is filed under the name uncultured bacterium. RNAcentral describes it as "partial 16S ribosomal RNA". It matches the Rfam family "Bacterial small subunit ribosomal RNA", at positions 28 to 523 of the family's 1533-position model. The record is from RNAcentral.
GAUGAACGCUGGCGGCGUGCCUAACACAUGCAAGUCGAGCGAACCCUUCGGGGUGAGCGGCGGACGGGUGAGUAACGCGUGGGUAACCUGCCCUAUACACACGGAUAACGUACCGAAAGGUACGCUAACACGGGAUAAAGUUGUUGGAUGGCAUCUUCUAACAAUCAAAGCUCUGGCGGGAUAGGUAAUGGACCCGCGGCGGAUUAGCUAGUUGGUGAGGUAAUGGAUCACCAAGGCGACGAUCAGUAGCCGACCAGAGAGGGUGAUCUGCCACACUGGAACUGAGACACGGUCCAGACUCCUACGGGAGGCAGCAGUGGGGAAGAUUGCACAAUGGGCGAAAGCCUGAUGCAGCAACGCCGCGUGAGGGAUGACGGCGUUCGGGUUGUAAACCUCUUUCAGCACCGACGAAGCGCGGGUGACGGUAGGUGCAGAAGAAGGACCGGCCAACUACGUGCCAGCCGCCGCAGUAA